RNAcentral lists this long non-coding RNA (1051 nucleotides) under Drosophila guanche. Lineage: Eukaryota; Metazoa; Arthropoda; Insecta; Diptera; Drosophilidae. The record is from RNAcentral.
UUUAUUUUGAACAAAAACAUAUUCAUAUAUUUUAUUCUCAAUGAAUUCUAAUUGUUAAAUUAUUCAUAUUUUAUUUAUUGACGCAAACAUUUGAAUUCAGUUUGGGCAAACAGCCCUAAACCCCUGCCCACACCACCCCCACCCAAACAUGUGCACAGAAAUGAGAGUUUAAGAGAGUUCUCGUGGCAAAAGAGAGCUUUUGGCGCUCUCUUCGGUCGCUUUUCUCGCGUGGCGCUCACACAGGGUGCCUCGUGUUCAGAAAUUGAAGCUGCGGUUUGGUCGCUUUGGUCGCUCCAGCUAAAAUGAUGUUGGUAAAUAAAUCAAUUGAGAAUUAAUUUGAAUACUAAAUUGUGUCCAGCUGCAAGGUGAAUCGCGCAUAUCGAAUACUCUAAUUAAGCCAUCUCUCCUUUCGACUUUGGGUGCCAUUUCGCCAUUCGAAUGGAUAACAAAUCAGUCGGUGGCUCAGCCAGUGGCCGCUUGCGAAAUCGCGACAGGCCAUAAAGUUGGCAAGCGAUGAGUUUAUUAGCCGACAACUGACGUCCCACCAGCACAGUUCCCGCCCCGCUGCGGUCUUCGAUUGGGAUUGCAUCGUAAAUAACCGCUCGCUGGGGCUGGUGAGCCGGGGUCCCCCGGCCAGUUCCCCUCAUCUCAGCCACAGCGUGCACGCAUCCAUCGAUGGCGAUGAUGACGAUUAUGUGGAUGGAGCAAUGUAGAUGUCCUUGAUGAGGAAGAUUGUCGAUUAUGGCCCCCCAACCGAAAUUUUGCAUGCAGCAGCAGCUCUCAGGUUGGCAAGGAGCAGGGCCGGGCCGGGCCAGGAUCCGGCAGGAACUAAUGGAAGAAUUUCGCGAUGUCACGAGCAUGAGUUAUGGUUAAGUGCACUUUUCGGGCUGCCUUGUCCCAAAACCACCGAACACCCACCAGCACCCCCGCUCUACCCCCUCCUCCGUUCGUUUCCCCGCCCGAUGACGCUAUGUUUGUGUCUAAAUGCAAAUUUUGUGUAAUGAACAUCGAGCACAUGGAGUGGCAUGGGAGGGUCCAUUAUACCCUUACC